UGGCGAUGGGAAGCGGACACGCCGCGUUCGAGGCGGCGGGACUGAAUGCGGGUCUCGCUCGCGCGUUCGAUUUCGCGCAGCGGCAC
This 86-nucleotide transfer RNA is filed under the name Caballeronia hypogeia. Its description in RNAcentral is "tRNA-Arg". Lineage: Bacteria; Pseudomonadati; Pseudomonadota; Betaproteobacteria; Burkholderiales; Burkholderiaceae. The record is from RNAcentral.